ACUAAGUUCUCCUACGGGGAAAGGGGGAGAGCUUGCAGGGAGGCUGAAAACUGUUCUAAGUCCCUGGACUGGCAUAAAGGUCUUAGAAAUACAGAGACAAUGGGGAUGUCUGGAGCAGCCACUCCCUCAUGCUCACUCUCGGCCAUGCUUUCGUCUUUCUCCCCCCAGAUUCUAAGCACACACCUUCAACUCCCAGAAAGGAGACUUGACUUCACGGGACUCCUUCAGCAAACUCGACUCCCUAGAAUGUGGUUGGCUGAUUCCCUGGUCUUUUUGACGGAUACUCUAUGAGCUGAAAGAAUUAUAACCACUGAUAGUCCUGGGACAGAGAGCAGCAGGAAUGUCAACCAUGACUCCUAUGAAAGAAUCAAAUCCUUUCUCCCCAGCAAGCACAGGAGCCGUCUUUGAGAUCAGUUCAACACAUUCUAGAGCUCGUUACCCACUGUGAAUACAAUUACAAAAAGAGUCAAGCUCAACAAAUUCCUCUUCGCCAAGCCAGGAACUGAAGGAACCUCAAAGCUCACAAGGCAGGCGAAGAGACCCGACAAAGAAGAAAGCAGAGAAGGGGGUGUAAAGAAGAGGCUAGCCACCUCAGUCCUCGCAAGCAAGGCUGGAUUUGCAGUUUCAUCCCGUGACUUACUGAGGUUGUCUCUCAAGAACUAGAGAAGAUAAUGGUUCCUUCCAGACUCUAAAUCUGCCUGAAAGCAAAACGCUCAGAGCUCUGCCAGUCCCUCCGCUCACAGGCAGAGGAAUAAUUGGGCUUUUUAUACCUCAGGAGGCUUUCCAAUCACCAGAGACUAGGCAUCAGCAAGUAUAUAAAUCCAUCCAUAAUUCAAAAAGAAUCCAAGCUGUUGAGGAAAUCUAAGCCCAAACAGAAUGGCUCUUUACUUCGCGGAACCACACUGCUUUUUGAAAUGCUAUUAUUGAGCUCAUUCAGUAAAAUUCGCUUGCUUAAAGGCUCUUUGCUGAAUAGAAAAGCAGAGAGUGAGAACUCAUAAAAUGCUGUUUCAUAAGCAGGCUCUGUGUGGGGGUCGGGGAAAUCACACUGAAGAGUCUGUGUGCAACACCUCCUGCAGCGUGGGCACCUGCAAAGGGACCAGAAGGAUGUGGAUGCUAUUACUGCUGUGCUUUCUAUCGUUGUUGACUGUGGAGGUAGAGAAAAUGUAAUACUCAUGUUUCGUAUCAAGUUAUAACUAAUCAUGCUCUCAAAAGAAUCUUUAUUAUUAUCUAAAAUUAAUGAUAGCUUUAAAUUCCUUAAUGUAUUUUUUUUAAUUGUAGGAAUUCCUUAUUGUGUAUAUCUCUGACCUAGAAGACACCAGAAUACAGCUCCCUCAAAUAUGCCUCUUGUUUGUUUUUUAAAAAAAAGAAAGAGUAUGGAGUUGUGCGGAGAAGGAGGGCAAAUCUGGUAGGAGUUGGUGUAAAGGGGAAGUGUGAUCAGAAUAUAUUGUA
Molecule: long non-coding RNA, 1449 nt
Organism: Alexandromys fortis (reed vole)
Lineage: Eukaryota; Metazoa; Chordata; Mammalia; Rodentia; Cricetidae
Exons: 4
Source: RefSeq, a predicted model, not a curated record